GGAAAAGUUGUGGCUGUAAGAGGUGUGCUUUUUCUGAGGCUCUGAUGGCAUCCAGUAGACCUUCACUGAUACUGAGCACGACCUCUAUCUCCGAGGAAGAAUUCUACUGACUCUCAGGGAAAGCAACAGCAAGGAGUCCAUCUCUACAAGGACAUUACUUUCACUGGUUCACAUUUGAUCUAUUUCUUUGGUUCUCAUUGCAUCUGACAUGAAGAGAGUGUGCGCUUCUGUGAAGACAGAAAUACUGAUAACACCACAGCAGGACUGCUACUGCGUCGCUCAGAAAAACACAACAAUGCACUUUCAA
This is a long non-coding RNA of Rhincodon typus (whale shark), 307 nucleotides long. RefSeq lists it as uncharacterized. Lineage: Eukaryota; Metazoa; Chordata; Chondrichthyes; Orectolobiformes; Rhincodontidae. The transcript is spliced from 3 exons. The record is from RefSeq and is a predicted model, not a curated record.